Molecule: ribosomal RNA, 2779 nt
Filed under: Salmonella enterica subsp. enterica serovar Enteritidis
Lineage: Bacteria; Pseudomonadati; Pseudomonadota; Gammaproteobacteria; Enterobacterales; Enterobacteriaceae
Description: partial 23S ribosomal RNA
Rfam family: Bacterial large subunit ribosomal RNA
Source: RNAcentral
GAGGUUAAGCGACUAAGCGUACACGGUGGAUGCCCUGGCAGUCAGAGGCGAUGAAGGGCGUACUAAUCUGCGAUAAGCGCCGGUAAGGUGAUAUGAACCGUUAUAACCGGCGAUACCCGAAUGGGGAAACCCAGUGUGAUUCGUCACACUAUCAUUAACUGAAUCCAUAGGUUAAUGAGGCGAACCGGGGGAACUGAAACAUCUAAGUACCCCGAGGAAAAGAAAUCAACCGAGAUUCCCCCAGUAGCGGCGAGCGAACGGGGAGGAGCCCAGAGCCUGAAUCAGCAUGUGUGUUAGUGGAAGCGUCUGGAAAGGCGCGCGAUACAGGGUGACAGCCCCGUACACAAAAGCGCAUGUGCUGUGAGCUCGAUGAGUAGGGCGGGACACGUGGUAUCCUGUCUGAAUAUGGGGGGACCAUCCUCCAAGGCUAAAUACUCCUGACUGACCGAUAGUGAACCAGUACCGUGAGGGAAAGGCGAAAAGAACCCCGGCGAGGGGAGUGAAAAAGAACCUGAAACCGUGUACGUACAAGCAGUGGGAGCACCCUUUGGGUGUGACUGCGUACCUUUUGUAUAAUGGGUCAGCGACUUAUAUUCUGUAGCAAGGUUAACCGAAUAGGGGAGCCGGAGGGAAACCGAGUCUUAACCGGGCGUUAAGUUGCAGGGUAUAGACCCGAAACCCGGUGAUCUAGCCAUGGGCAGGUUGAAGGUUGGGUAACACUAACUGGAGGACCGAACCGACUAAUGUUGAAAAAUUAGCGGAUGACCUGUGGCUGGGGGUGAAAGGCCAAUCAAACCGGGAGAUAGCUGGUUCUCCCCGAAAGCUAUUUAGGUAGCGCCUCGUGAAUUCAUCUCCGGGGGUAGAGCACUGUUUCGGCUAGGGGGCCAUCCCGGCUUACCAACCCGAUGCAAACUGCGAAUACCGGAGAAUGUUAUCACGGGAGACACACGGCGGGUGCUAACGUCCGUCGUGAAGAGGGAAACAACCCAGACCGCCAGCUAAGGUCCCAAAGUCAUGGUUAAGUGGGAAACGAUGUGGGAAGGCCCAGACAGCCAGGAUGUUGGCUUAGAAGCAGCCAUCAUUUAAAGAAAGCGUAAUAGCUCACUGGUCGAGUCGGCCUGCGCGGAAGAUGUAACGGGGCUAAACCAUGCACCGAAGCUGCGGCAGCGACACUGUGUGUUGUUGGGUAGGGGAGCGUUCUGUAAGCCUGCGAAGGUGGCCUGUGAGGGUUGCUGGAGGUAUCAGAAGUGCGAAUGCUGACAUAAGUAACGAUAAAGCGGGUGAAAAGCCCGCUCGCCGGAAGACCAAGGGUUCCUGUCCAACGUUAAUCGGGGCAGGGUGAGUCGACCCCUAAGGCGAGGCCGAAAGGCGUAGUCGAUGGGAAACGGGUUAAUAUUCCCGUACUUGGUGUUACUGCGAAGGGGGGACGGAGAAGGCUAUGUUGGCCGGGCGACGGUUGUCCCGGUUUAAGCGUGUAGGUGUGUGUUCCAGGUAAAUCCGGUUCACUUUAACACUGAGGCGUGACGACGAGGCACUACGGUGCUGAAGCAACAAAUGCCCUGCUUCCAGGAAAAGCCUCUAAGCAUCAGGUAACAUCAAAUCGUACCCCAAACCGACACAGGUGGUCAGGUAGAGAAUACCAAGGCGCUUGAGAGAACUCGGGUGAAGGAACUAGGCAAAAUGGUGCCGUAACUUCGGGAGAAGGCACGCUGACACGUAGGUGAAGUGAUUUACUCAUGGAGCUGAAGUCAGUCGAAGAUACCAGCUGGCUGCAACUGUUUAUUAAAAACACAGCACUGUGCAAACACGAAAGUGGACGUAUACGGUGUGACGCCUGCCCGGUGCCGGAAGGUUAAUUGAUGGGGUCAGCGCAAGCGAAGCUCCUGAUCGAAGCCCCGGUAAACGGCGGCCGUAACUAUAACGGUCCUAAGGUAGCGAAAUUCCUUGUCGGGUAAGUUCCGACCUGCACGAAUGGCGUAAUGAUGGCCAGGCUGUCUCCACCCGAGACUCAGUGAAAUUGAACUCGCUGUGAAGAUGCAGUGUACCCGCGGCAAGACGGAAAGACCCCGUGAACCUUUACUAUAGCUUGACACUGAACAUUGAGCCUUGAUGUGUAGGAUAGGUGGGAGGCUUUGAAGUGUGGACGCCAGUCUGCAUGGAGCCGACCUUGAAAUACCACCCUUUAAUGUUUGAUGUUCUAACGUGGACCCGUUACCCGGGUUGCGGACAGUGUCUGGUGGGUAGUUUGACUGGGGCGGUCUCCUCCUAAAGAGUAACGGAGGAGCACGAAGGUUGGCUAAUCCUGGUCGGACAUCAGGAGGUUAGUGCAAUGGCAUAAGCCAGCUUGACUGCGAGCGUGACGGCGCGAGCAGGUGCGAAAGCAGGUCAUAGUGAUCCGGUGGUUCUGAAUGGAAGGGCCAUCGCUCAACGGAUAAAAGGUACUCCGGGGAUAACAGGCUGAUACCGCCCAAGAGUUCAUAUCGACGGCGGUGUUUGGCACCUCGAUGUCGGCUCAUCACAUCCUGGGGCUGAAGUAGGUCCCAAGGGUAUGGCUGUUCGCCAUUUAAAGUGGUACGCGAGCUGGGUUUAGAACGUCGUGAGACAGUUCGGUCCCUAUCUGCCGUGGGCGCUGGAGAACUGAGGGGGGCUGCUCCUAGUACGAGAGGACCGGAGUGGACGCAUCACUGGUGUUCGGGUUGUCAUGCCAAUGGCACUGCCCGGUAGCUAAAUGCGGAAGAGAUAAGUGCUGAAAGCAUCUAAGCACGAAACUUGCCCCGAG